GAUGAACGCUGGCGGCGUGCCUAAUACAUGCAAGUCGAGCGAACAGACGAGGAGCUUGCUCCUUCGACGUUAGCGGCGGACGGGUGAGUAACACGUAGGUAACCUACCUAUAAGACUGGGAUAACUUCGGGAAACCGGAGCUAAUACCGGAUAAUAUUUCGAACCGCAUGGUUCGAUAGUGAAAGAUGGCUUUGCUAUCACUUAUAGAUGGACCUGCGCCGUAUUAGCUAGUUGGUAAGGUAACGGCUUACCAAGGCAACGAUACGUAGCCGAACUGAGAGGGUGAUCGGCCACACGGGAACUGAGACACGGUCCAGACUCCUACGGGAGGCAGCAGUAGGGAAUCUUCCGCAAUGAGCGAAAGCCUGACGGAGCAACGCCGCGUGAGUGAUGAAGGUCUUCGGAGCGUAAAACUCGGUUAUUAGGGAAGAACAAACGUGUAAGUAACUGUGCACGUCUUGACGGUACCUAAUCAGAAAGCCACGGCUAACUACGUG
RNAcentral lists this ribosomal RNA (497 nucleotides) under uncultured bacterium. RNAcentral describes it as "partial 16S ribosomal RNA". It matches the Rfam family "Bacterial small subunit ribosomal RNA", at positions 28 to 507 of the family's 1533-position model. The record is from RNAcentral.